GGUUGUAGCUGAGUGGUAGAGCACUUGCCUCGCAUGCGUGAGGCCCUGGGUUCAGUCCCUAGCACCA
This 67-nucleotide transfer RNA is filed under the name Marmota monax (woodchuck). Its description in RNAcentral is "tRNA.Ala". It matches the Rfam family "tRNA". From Rfam's summary of the family: Transfer RNA (tRNA) molecules are approximately 80 nucleotides in length. Their secondary structure includes four short double-helical elements and three loops (D, anti-codon, and T loops). Further hydrogen bonds mediate the characteristic L-shaped molecular structure. tRNAs have two regions of fundamental functional importance: the anti-codon, which is responsible for specific mRNA codon recognition, and the 3' end, to which the tRNAs corresponding amino acid is attached (by aminoacyl-tRNA synthetases). tRNAs cope with the degeneracy of the genetic code in two manners: having more than one tRNA (with a specific anti-codon) for a particular amino acid; and 'wobble' base-pairing, i.e. permitting non-standard base-pairing at the 3rd anti-codon position. The record is from RNAcentral. Lineage: Eukaryota; Metazoa; Chordata; Mammalia; Rodentia; Sciuridae.